Molecule: long non-coding RNA, 482 nt
Filed under: Helianthus annuus (common sunflower)
Lineage: Eukaryota; Viridiplantae; Streptophyta; Magnoliopsida; Asterales; Asteraceae
Source: RNAcentral
AACUUGGCCAUGUGCUGAGAAAUGUGUAUUUGUCGGCUAUGGGAUCGAUCAAAUCGGUUACCGGUGUUAUAAUCCAACAACUCGUCAAAGGUUCACCACAAUGAAUGUUGACUUUCUUGAAACAAAAUACUUUUAUAACACCCAACUCAGUGGUCAGGGGGAGAAUGACAGUAUAGACACUCUGAGCUGGCUAACCCAAAUUCCCUCAUCUGAAUAAGUCACAACAGAAAACUAUCACAGUACUACGAGUCCUUCAAACACAGACACACAAUCCACGGAGCACAGUACCACUGAAGAAAGUCCAUCCAACGUGAUGCCUGAGGUUGAACCAGUUAUUGAACAUGUUGAAUCAGUUGCAGCGGAGACUACCGGAAGAUACUCUCUUCCACCUAGAGCCAAUAGAGGAGUUCCUCCAAAACGAUACCUACUUCCGUAAAGGAAGCUCAAGGUAAGAAGAACUGGGAAGAAGCAAUGGAAGUGGA